Long non-coding RNA from Corythoichthys intestinalis (scribbled pipefish), 584 nucleotides. RefSeq lists it as uncharacterized. The record is from RefSeq and is a predicted model, not a curated record. The transcript is spliced from 3 exons. NCBI's taxonomy places the organism in Eukaryota, Metazoa, Chordata, Actinopteri, Syngnathiformes, Syngnathidae.
AGUGCCUGUGACACGAAAAAGCAUGUUUAUUUCAUAAUACACGCGGUAUUUUAUGCCCCUGAAUGAUAUGGACCACUUGGAUGUGUGUGGAAGCGAUCGCUAUAUUUAUUUAGUUUUUUGAAUCCCGCGCCAUGAAAAUGAGUGACUUCCGGCUUCGGUCUUGCAUUGAGGAGGAGGGCGCUGUGACGUGUACGGUAGAAGACGUUCUCUUCACUAUACAGUGUACUGUUGUGUAUGAGGACGAAGGAUUCAGCUGAUUUUGCGGAUUAAUACUUUUAUUUUUUGCAUCACGCCAGCCAAACGGCUGCAGAAAAAUCAUUCUGUAUGCGGGAGAGGCGUAUGCGCCUUUUUGGAGUUUCAAAAGGUUCCCAUUCACCGUGGAUAUUUACUGUGGGACCAUUGGACUUACAAGGAACCGGGCGGACAAGGUGUUGCCGCGAAGAGAGUGCUGUUAACGUCUGGCCAAACAGAAAAGAGUGGCAACACCCUAGCAAAGAGGGACGCCCCUCGCUGCUACGUAAUGACGUCAUUUCCCGAAGACAUUGCCAGCACUCCAAUACGAAAGUAUUGACAAGUUUCCGAGG